This 782-nucleotide ribosomal RNA is filed under the name Lactiplantibacillus fabifermentans. RNAcentral's name for it is "bacterial SSU rRNA". It matches the Rfam family "Bacterial small subunit ribosomal RNA", at positions 27 to 774 of the family's 1533-position model. The record is from RNAcentral. Lineage: Bacteria; Bacillati; Bacillota; Bacilli; Lactobacillales; Lactobacillaceae.
GGACGAACGCUGGCGGCGUGCCUAAUACAUGCAAGUCGAACGAACUCUGGUAUUGAUUGGUACUUGUAUCAUGAUUUACAUUUGAGUGAGUGGCGAACUGGUGAGUAACACGUGGGAAACUUGCCCAGAAGCGGGGGAUAACACCUGGAAACAGAUGCUAAUACCGCAUAACAACUUGGACCGCAUGGUCCGAGCUUGAAAGRUGGYUUCGGCUAUCACUUCUGGAUAGUCCCGCGGCGCAUUAGCUAGAUGGUGAGGUAACGGCUCACCAUGGCAAUGAUGCGUAGCCGACCUGAGAGGGUAAUCGGCCACAUUGGGACUGAGACACGGCCCAAACUCCUACGGGAGGCAGCAGUAGGGAAUCUUCCACAAUGGACGAAAGUCUGAUGGAGCAACGCCGCGUGAGUGAAGAAGGGUUUCGGCUCGUAAAACUCUGUUGUUAAAGAAGAACAUAUCUGAGAGUAACUGUUCAGGUAUUGACGGUAUUUAACCAGAAAGCCACGGCUAACUACGUGCCAGCAGCCGCGGUAAUACGUAGGUGGCAAGCGUUGUCCGGAUUUAUUGGGCGUAAAGCGAGCGCAGGCGGUUUUUUAAGUCUGAUGUGAAAGCCUUCGGCUCAACCGAAGAAGUGCAUCGGAAACUGGGAAACUUGAGUGCAGAAGAGGACAGUGGAACUCCAUGUGUAGCGGUGAAAUGCGUAGAUAUAUGGAAGAACACCAGUGGCGAAGGCGGCUGUCUGGUCUGUAACUGACGCUGAGGCUCGAAAGUAUGGGUAGCAAACA